Molecule: non-coding RNA, 71 nt
Organism: Spinacia oleracea (spinach)
Lineage: Eukaryota; Viridiplantae; Streptophyta; Magnoliopsida; Caryophyllales; Amaranthaceae
Source: Rfam
AGUCUAUUAGCUCAAUUGGCAGAGCUUUGUGCAAUUGCACAAUGAUGUAGGUUCGAAUCCUACAUAGGCUA